Molecule: ribosomal RNA, 469 nt
Filed under: uncultured organism
Description: partial 16S ribosomal RNA
Rfam family: Bacterial small subunit ribosomal RNA
Source: RNAcentral
CACUCCUACGGGAGGCAGCAGUGGGGAAUUUUGGACAAUGGGCGAAAGCCUGAUCCAGCAAUGCCGCGUGAGUGAAGAAGGCCUUCGGGUUGUAAAGCUCUUUUGUCAGGGAAGAAACGGUGAAAGCUAAUAUCUUUUGCUAAUGACGGUACCUGAAGAAUAAGCACCGGCUAACUACGUGCCAGCAGCCGCGGUAAUACGUAGGGUGCAAGCGUUAAUCGGAAUUACUGGGCGUAAAGCGUGCGCAGGCGGUUUUGUAAGUCUGAUGUGAAAUCCCCGGGCUCAACCUGGGAAUUGCAUUGGAGACUGCAAGGCUAGAAUCUGGCAGAGGGGGGUAGAAUUCCACGUGUAGCAGUGAAAUGCGUAGAUAUGUGGAGGAACACCGAUGGCGAAGGCAGCCCCCUGGGUCAAGAUUGACGCUCAUGCACGAAAGCGUGGGGAGCAAACAGGAUUAGAAACCCAGUAGUCC